ACGGAUCCCUUCGUUUCGGCAAAAUGUUUUGAUUCUAUUUAGGAUUUGCGCUAGCCAGAUUUGCCAACCUUCUGUGCCAUUGGAGGGCCGUGAUUCUGCUACCCAGAUAUUUUCUAGUUGUGUACAAAGGUUUGGAUUUUUUAGAUAGCUUGUAUUGAAUCUGAAUUGUCGAUCUGUUUCAGUGUUCCAAUUCUAUUUUCUAAUUUCUAAAUGGACAGGGAGGUGAUCAGAGAGAGUGCUAUAUCCUUUCAAGAUUUUUAUCUUGCCUCCUCCCUCCCCACCGCACUUGCCGGUGUAGAAUCUGUCUAAUCGGGCUAGAAGGCUGUUGUCUCAUUUAUUUGACAAAGAGAAUUUUAGUCCACCCCUGCAUUUAAAGUCAUCACUAAUCUAUGUGUGCUCUAAUCCGAGUCUAAACACUAGUGUAUCCCAUGCCUGUUGUGCAUCGGCGCUUAGUUACUUUAGAGGGUUGCCGCUCCUAUCAACUUUCCUUUCUACUAUUUUCAUGUCUCUGGCCACUAUCCAAGAUUUUGUGUGGAUAGGUUGGCGUUGAUUUUGUCCUACAAAACUGACCAUUUGUGGCCUCGAUUGGAGGCAUACACAUGCAAGAAUCUUAGUGUUUACUUUUCCAACUUACUAAGUAUCCACUAUGCACGUCUGGGACUAGUAUUUUGGAAUUGAGUACACAGUGGUGCAUCGAUGUAGACAUGAGGAUGGCCAUGCUGAGUCGAUAAUGACUUGUAGCCUCAUUCAAUUCUGCCCCGUUCCAUAGAGCUUGAGUUUGAAACCGUCAUCUCUUCACCUUUCCAGUUAUGCAGCUAGACAUGCCCCAGAUGUUCUAGGUCAUGAUGUGUAAUAAGAUGUCUGUCAUCUUAUUGAGUGGGUGGUGUUGCAUCCACCACCGACCAAGGUGGUUCCAAGGAGUUAUGCCUGUAUAGGAGAUGUGGGGUGUAGAAAUGGAGGCCGAGGUGCCACCUCAUGAUUGCUCUCGUGAGGGUUGUUAAAAUCUGUAGUUUCGGCAAGAGGACUCUAUUCUCGUCUCUCCUAAUCAAGAUACAAUCGGUUGCUUGCUGGAGAGAUGUGCGGAUUAAUCCACAUCGUGGAUUGGUUACAUUGUGCUGUUGGUAUUGAGGGCAGGAGAAGAAGACCUGCUCUGCCUUGUGUGCAUUUGUUGUGGAUAUGCAUGGUGCCAAGUGAUCCUCGACCCAUGUCAAAGGUGAUCAGUGCUGUCACCUAUUAGCAGCUCUCUUCUACAUUGAAGGUCGAUUGGAGGAAUCUGCGUCGAGUUUGAGGCAGUUGUGUGCUCCACUCAUGAUGAUGCCUUGCUCACAUAGGGCUGUGCCGAUCAUACUCUAUGUGGGAUUGAUAUUAAUUGUGUAAGCAUCUUGAGUGGAAACCUCUCUUUUGGAGCUAGUUCUCAGUCCGGAUGAAUCCAUACCCCGAGAUCAUCACUCUCCGUCCAUUGUUGUUGAGCCUCAUCGAAGUAGAAUGUGUUGUCUAUGUGCGAAGUCUCCAUGAGUGCUAGUAUGUGGCAGAUGUAGCUACCAUCUUCUAGUUUUUGCCAUUGGUCCAUCCACGUGAUUGUGUCUCCGGUUCUUUAGGUGAGACUCUUAUUCCCCAGUCUGAGGUUCCGCAAUAGAUCUGCUUGUAACUAUUUCCAGCAAAGUUGGCGGAGAUCUUCAAGCUUGGAUGUAGUGUUAGUAGGAAGGGAGAUGCGUGUGCCCUGUAAAUCUCCAACUAGCGUACUCAGAUACCUUUGUUGUGUAUCAGUUCUCAUUGUGUCUAUUAUAGGUCACAUCUGUAGUUGUUUUUUGCCCUCUUUGGGUGUAUUCUGAAAAUUGAAAGUAUUCCAUAUUUGCAUCUUGAGCCUA
Molecule: long non-coding RNA, 1868 nt
Organism: Physcomitrium patens
Lineage: Eukaryota; Viridiplantae; Streptophyta; Bryopsida; Funariales; Funariaceae
Source: RefSeq, a predicted model, not a curated record